UACGGAAGGCAGCAGUGGGGAAUAUUGCACAAUGGGCGCAAGCCUGAUGCAGCCAUGCCGCGUGUAUGAAAAAGGCCUUCGGGUUGUAAAGUACUUUCAGUCGUGAGGAAGGUGUUAAGGUUAAUAACCUUAGCAAUUGACGUUAGCGACAGAAGAAGCACCGGCUAACUCCGUGCCAGCAGCCGCGGUAAUACGGAGGGUGCGAGCGUUAAUCGGAAUUACUGGGCGUAAAGGGCACGCAGGCGGUUAAUUAAGUUGGAUGUGAAAUCCCCGGGCUUAACCUGGGAAUGGCAUUCAAGCUGGUUAGCUAGAGUCUUGUAGAGGGGGUAGAAUUCCAUGUGUAGCGGUGAAAUGCGUAGAGAUGUGGAGGAAUACCGGUGGCGAAGGCGGCCCCUGGACAAAACGUGACGCUCAUGUGCGAAAGCGUGGGGAGCAAACAGGGAUUAGAUACC
This 452-nucleotide ribosomal RNA is filed under the name uncultured bacterium. RNAcentral's name for it is "bacterial SSU rRNA". It matches the Rfam family "Bacterial small subunit ribosomal RNA", at positions 340 to 786 of the family's 1533-position model. The record is from RNAcentral.